This 253-nucleotide ribosomal RNA is filed under the name uncultured bacterium. Its description in RNAcentral is "partial 16S ribosomal RNA". It matches the Rfam family "Bacterial small subunit ribosomal RNA", at positions 524 to 776 of the family's 1533-position model. The record is from RNAcentral.
UACAGAGGUCUCAAGCGUUGUUCGGAUUCAUUGGGCGUAAAGAGCUCGUAGGCGGUUUGUUGCGUCGGCCGUGAAAACCUGCAGCUUAACUGUGGGCCUGCGGUCGAUACGGGCAGACUUGAGUUCGGUAGGGGAGACUGGAAUUCCUGGUGCAGCGGUGAAAUGCGCAGAUAUCAGGAGGAACACCGGUGGCGAAGGCGGGUCUCUGGGCCGAUACUGACGCUGAGGAGCGAAAGCGUGGGGAGCAAACGGG